Molecule: non-coding RNA, 107 nt
Filed under: Virgibacillus necropolis
Lineage: Bacteria; Bacillati; Bacillota; Bacilli; Caryophanales; Bacillaceae
Description: TPP sequence
Rfam family: TPP riboswitch aptamer (THI element)
About the family: Vitamin B(1) in its active form thiamin pyrophosphate (TPP) is an essential coenzyme that is synthesised by coupling of pyrimidine and thiazole moieties in bacteria. The previously detected thiamin-regulatory element, thi box was extended, resulting in a new, highly conserved RNA secondary structure, the THI element, which is widely distributed in eubacteria and also occurs in some archaea.
Source: Rfam by way of RNAcentral
AAAUGUCACUAGGGGAGCAUGUUAACUAGCUGAGAAGAACUUACUUUGUUCUGACCCUCUUACUCGAACUAGAUAAUACUAGCGUGGGAAAGUGUAGUCGAAGUGUA